ACUUAGCUGACGAGUCCCAAAUAGGACGAAACGCGUGUCCUGGAU
Molecule: non-coding RNA, 45 nt
Filed under: Schistosoma mansoni
Lineage: Eukaryota; Metazoa; Platyhelminthes; Trematoda; Strigeidida; Schistosomatidae
Source: RNAcentral